RNAcentral lists this ribosomal RNA (1481 nucleotides) under metagenome. Its description in RNAcentral is "bacterial SSU rRNA". It matches the Rfam family "Bacterial small subunit ribosomal RNA". The record is from RNAcentral.
AGAGUUUGAUCCUGGCUCAGAGUUAACGCUGGCGGCGUGCAUAACACAUGCAAAUCGAACGGAGUUACAGAACCCGCAAGGGUUUUGUAAUUUAGUGUAAACGGGUGAGUAACACGUGGGAAACCUUCCUAAAAGAGGGGGAUAACACCGCGAAAGCGGUGCUAAUACCCCAUAAGACCACAGCCUGGCAUCAGGCAGAGGCCAAAGUAGUAAUACACUUUUAGAGGGUCCUGCGUCCUAUCAGCUAGUUGGCGGGAUAACAGCCCACCAAGGCUAUGACGGGUAUCCGGCCUGAAAGGGUGAACGGACACAAUGGAACUGAGACACGGUCCAUACUCCUACGGGAGGCAGCAGUGGGGAAUUUUGGACAAUGGGCGAAAGCCUGAUCCAGCAACGCCGCGUGAAGGAUGAAGGCCUUCGGGUUGUAAACUUCUUUUAGAGGGGACGAAACAAAUGACGGAACCCUCAGAAAAAGCCACGGCUAACUACGUGCCAGCAGCCGCGGUAAUACGUAGGUGGCGAGCGUUACUCGGAUUUACUAGGCGUAAAGCGUAUGUAGGUGGUUGGAUAAGUCUAUGGUGAAAUCCUUCGGCUUAACUGGAGGGCGUACAUAGAUACUGUCUGGCUUGAGUGUGGAGGGGAAGACGGAAUUCCUGGUGUAGCAGUGAAAUGCGUAGAUAUCAGGAGGAACACCGAUGGCGAAGGCGGUCUUCUGGCCCAAUACUGACACUGAGAUACGAAAGCUAGGGGAGCAAACAGGAUUAGAUACCCUGGUAGUCCUAGCUGUAAACGAUGUUCACUAGAUGUGGGAGGUAUCGACCCCUUCCGCGUCGCCGCUAACGCAUUAAGUGAACCGCCUGGGGAGUACGGCCGCAAGGUUGAAACUCAAAGGAAUUGACGGGGGCCCGCACAAGCGGUGGAGUAUGUGGUUUAAUUCGACGCAACGCGAAAAACCUUACCUGGGCUUGAACCGCUGGUUGUAAGAUCCGGAAACGGAGAUGACCCGCAAGGGAGCCAGUAGAGGUGCUGCAUGGCUGUCGUCAGCUCGUGUCGUGAGAUGUUGGGUUAAGUCCCGCAACGAGCGCAACCCUUAUCCUAUGUUGCCCAGCAAUGGGUCUCUCUUAGGAAACUGCCCUCGAUAAGAGGGAGGAAGGUGAGGACGACGUCAAGUCAUCAUGGCCUUUAUGUCCAGGGCUACACACGUACUACAAUGGCCGGUAUAUAGGGCAGCCAACCCGUAAGGGGGAGCAAAUCCCACAAAGCCGGCCCCAGUUCAGAUUGUGGGCUGCAAUUCGCCCACAUGAAGGUGGAAUCGCUAGUAAUCGCAGAUCAGCAGGCUGCGGUGAAUACGUUCCCGGGCCUUGUACACACCGCCCGUCACACCACGAAAGCCAGUUGUAACAGAAGUCGCUGUGCUAACUCGCAAGAGAGGCAGGCGCCCAAGUUAUGGUUGGUGAUUGGGGUGAAGUCGUAACAAGGUA